GGCACUCUGAUAAGAGGUAGCCAGAAUUCUCUUAUCUGGAGAGACGUGGGAGGACCAAAAUAACAUCUUGUCAGCCUGGAUAAGACUCUACCUUAGCAGAGAUCUCUUUAUGGACAAGAUGAAUGGAAGGAUCCUAUUUGGGACCUGAAAUAAUCACAUUCAGGAGCUGCUCUUGGUUCUCUGACUCCUCCGUGGCGUAAGUGGGGUCCCCUCCUUGGAGGUGGCUCCCUCCGUCACACGAUUUCCUGGCCCUCCCCUGGCUCAGGGAAUUCCUCCACGAUUCGUCUCCCUCCCUUCUUCCUCGCCAGGCCUCCUCCCUGGGUCUCCAUCAUCUCCGGUUUACUCCUUGCCUCACCCGUCUCAUCAAGCCUUUUGGAUUGCUCGAUGCAGAAGGCGCUCUGUGCUCAGCUCCUAUGAAUUGUCUCCACGUGCCAGGCCAAAGGUAGGUACAAGAGGCCAGGAGCUGGGACAUCUGCUGUGCAAGUCAAAGUCAACAAUGUCUUUGAAGCCACCAGUGGGGCAAGAGAGCUGCUGAGGUCACCACGAAAGCUCUGUGGACAGGCUGCAAAGCCACCAAUCCCACAUCCUUUCCCUACCGUGGUCAGCAUUGCAGAAUGGGAGAAGUUGAGUGAAACAGUGAGUCUGUCCGUUCUCGCUCACUUUUUAAUUUGCAAAUCCUCUUCCUAAGACACCGGCAUGAGUCUGUGUGGGCUGGGCCACAGAACACUUUGUGGGACAGACACUGUCCUGAAUCAAAAUGGCCCUUUUCUUCCAAAGUUGGGUCAUUGGCUUUGGCCACUCUGUGCUUUUCCACUCCCUUUCCUCCUAAGAUGAGUUAUUUCCCAGGAAGUUCCAAAGAUUUCAGCAAAUGUAUCCUUGAUGGGGUCAGCCAUAUACCCAGGCCACAGAGACAUGCCUGUCAGAAUCAUAGGAUGAACACAGGUUAGUCUGGCCCAUGGGAGCCCUGCCCCUAAAUAAACAGUAACACAGAGCAAUGAGGUCGGUACCAUCAGAGAGUGCAGUGUGCUGCCAAAAGAAUGCUUUUCCAAAGGAAAAACAAUGUAAAAAAAAAUCUUUCUAGUAAUCCAAGCAUCUUUGUGAAAAAUGUUGAUAAUACCCCUAAGAAUUCUGCAAGAAAAAAAGACUCAAGAAGCCCUGUUUUGACUGUCGCCCAGCCAGCCCCCAGGGUGGGCUCUGUGUAGGUCACUUACAAGGCAGUCUUUUCUGUUUCUCUCCCUUGGGAAGCUCCCUCGAGCCACAGGACCUGAUCAAGGACACAUUUUGAGUUUGUUGUAUUUUUUGACCAGUGUUUUGUCACCCACUGAUUUGAGGCACUUUCAAUGCAGAGUCACCGUUGGAAUGGGAUGGACCCAAGGUAGAUGCCACAACCACCAAAGCAGUGACCUUUAAACAUUCACGGAGCACAGGGGUGGAUAAUGAUGAGUUCAGAAUGCUGUUAGGGCAGAAUGUUGUCCCUGACACCAGCCCUUUAUCCCAGAUCCCUUUCUCAAAGAGGUCCCCAAGGGAAAACAUUCACACCUCAAAAGCCAGCAAAAUAAAGAACAUAGGAUUCUCUCACUAAUCAUUCACAUAACACUUUUAUUUUCUCUUUGGAAUAGCAUUGUCGAGGUGUUCACUCCCAUUUCACAAUUAAGAAACCAUCAGUUCCCGCCAUGUUCCUGGCCCCACAGCUUCAUCAAGGCCAUUGCACGCCUCCUUCCUCGGUCUGACUUACCCUCUGCCAGCUCCUGGGCUGUUUCCUUCUCUCCAGCUGAAAAGCCAACAGAUUCUUAACACUAUUUUACUAUAGUUGGCAAAGAUUCUCUUCUUUCACAUUAGAAUGGAUUUAUUCCAGUUGAAUCCCAACUCGUUUCAUCUUACCCAGGGAGGAGCCAUCAAGCCCAAAUGACAGUCAAUGGGAUGUUUAAAGAGUAUGAGCCAUGGAUAACUUAGCAAUUUUGUGUCUGGACAAGCGACCUUUCUCCAUAUGUGGCUGGAUUGGGGCACUGUGCAGCCUCCCAGUUGUCAAGUUCCGGGAGAACGAGACUGUGGGUGCCAAGUCUUCAGAAUUCCUCAGGAUUGGCUACCACUACCCGCACCUCCAUCCCACCGGUGCUCUCUCCUGGGACUGCCAGAAUGGCAGAACUACACUUUCUUUCAGACUCAGGCUCCUUCUCUUGCUAUGUGUAGUUUGUAAAAUGGCGCUUAACCCUCCUCCCAUUCAGAUGCACAUUCUCUGCAACUUCCUCUGGAAGCUGGAAGGACUAACUUUAACUAGUAGAGGACAGCAAAAGGGAGGCUGUGUGAUGUCUGAAGCCAGGACAAAAGAGACCACGUAGUUUCUGCCUCGUUCACUGGUACGUUUGCACCUGAAGUCCUGACUGUCAGGUAAGAAGUCCAAUCACUUGGAGGCCACCAUGCUCGGAGGAAGCCCAAGCCAGGCCAGAGGCCAUGAGGAAGGGCUCUGAUCAACAGUCCCAACUGAGCCCAGGCUUCAAAUCACUCCAGCCCAGGCACCAUACAGGUGAGUGAAGAAGCUUCCAGAAGCUUCCAGUCACUCAGUCUUUCACUUAGUGGAACAGAGAGAAACCAUUGCCACUGAGCCCCACCUGAGUUCCUGACCCACAAAAUCCAUGAGCAUAACAGAGUGGCUGCUUUUCCACCUCGAUGUAUGGGGAGUUUUGUUCUGAGGCAACCAAUGACUUGGGCACCGCUUGAUAGCUCUGCCCCUUGGUCUUCACACACGUGUGGGAAGUCUUCCUCUUUUAUCUUCUCUUUAUGUCUUCCUUCUCUUUCACCCAGCAUCUAUUACAUCUGGAGAAAUCCUGAACUCUUCCAGUCCCUUCUAGAGAAGCCAAAGGAACAUCUUUCAAUUGUUUAUUAACAAUAAUUCGUCACUCUUUUACAGAUCUAUAGAAAUAUGUCAAAGAGAGAAGCCACAGAGGCACACACAGCUGAGGUGGGUGGCAGGUCCACGUUUAGCCAUUUGCGCCACUGACCCUGAUUUUCAAUGAUCUGUGAGGAUGUAGAGGGAAAGGGGAAAUGAAUCUGAACACAAGGGAAGUUACGCCAUCAGGGCACUCUCGGUGGAAGAGUUCCCAUCAGCUGUGAGUCGUGCAAGAAGGAAGCUGUCAGGUAAAUGGCGAUGUCCGUGUGAUAAGUUUGCAACCACACAAAAUGAUGCCAGUGGGGACAGUAGAGACUGUAGUAUGCGUUUCCUGAGGAAAACAGACUUGUGUGCACUGAAAAUAGUUCUGGAUAAAGCAAUUUAAAAAGAAGAGAGACAACCCCAGGAGACAGUGCUCACAUAGGACAGGAAAUGUGUACAAGAAUGUUCACUGCAGCCCUGGGGCCUCAGCAGAGACGUGGAAGCAACCUCAUGCCAGCCAGAGGAUGCGUAGACAAAUGAACUCUUCAUUAUUACAUAGCGAUGUCACAAAACGGUACAGAAAGCAAAGUGAGGGAAUGCCGGACCCAGGGUUCCGGGUGAUGGUUAGCCUCACGUGGAAGAAGGCAGGAGGAUGCGAAGGGGAAGAAACCACAUGGCUGCAUGUAGGUCAUUGUCAAAGUGCCAGCUUUUGUUUUGGGUGGUGAGUUGUCAGGUGCUUAAAAACAACUAAAUAAGUAAAUAAACAAAUGUGGGUCACCCAUGGAUCCAUGACGAGGGCGUGUCAGGAAGCAAGGAUUGCCAUUUAUUCACUUCCAGGUACGUGAGGCCCAACAGAGCAAAGAGACAGAGACCACGAAUAUGGGAGGAGAGAAGGUGUGGAAAGCGGGUGGAGAUGCUCUUUCAAGAAGAAGAGGAGGACGGUAGCCAGGGGCGUCGAUAAGGUCUCAAGGUGGUUUGUGUGGGUGUGUGUUAGCUUAUUUGCUAACGGCAAUGAUCCAGUAGCCGGAAAGACUAAUGAUGCAGGAGAGAAGGAGAUUCAGGACGGACAUCCUUGAGGAGGCAAGACGGAAGGUGACCCAGUGCCAGACGAGUUUCUCCCUUGGGAGCAAAUUUUUCUUCUUCCCAAUGCAUCUGCAAAGGAGCUUAUUGCCACCUGACAAGAUCUCCUCUCCAACAACAGGAGCGUGGUGCCAGGUCUUAACUAAGACUUCUACCCCUAUCCACGCAGCUCAGCAUACAAACCAACCUACGUUGACACAAGAGGCAUCUUCUCAUUGGCAGGGAUUUGAAAAGCCACAGACCCCCGCUAUCCCCUUCCACCUGCUCCCAGUUCCCCCAAAUCCUACUUCUGUCCCGACUCUCCUGGGAGAAGGAGGAGUCCCCACUUUUCCAAGGGGGCUCAUUUGGCAGCUGUUUAACCACAGCUUGGUUUGGGGGCUCCCCUGCUUGUCCACAGAGGGACCCUGAGGCUCCCUGUUUCUGCCCAGACCCACCCACACCUUCCCAGUUCACAAACCCUGAGCUCCAGGCAGCUGGGCAUUCGACUUCCCCAUCAUGCUGCUCCCAGAAGGUCUGUAAGAUGUUAUUCCAGGCUCUAUUCACAUGCUGCUCCCCACAUGAAGCAUCUCCAGCCUCCUGUCCAGCCUGCCCGCCUCUCCCCUGCCACCCGCAUCUCCCAAGGACUCGUUGUGUCCCGGUCAUCUUGUGCGCCCCAUGACAGCCAUGCUCCCCAAGCCCUCUUCUCCCCUCCCAGGCAUGAGGGUCCUGACUCCCCCCUAGAGAGGGGAUGGGGAGCCAGGAAUCAUGCCAAACCCUAAGACCAACCCAUCAGUCAAAACUGAGCCUGAGCGACCCAUAGUUUUACUUUCCUGAAAAUCCUUGUGCUUUCUCUAAAAAGCGGACUUCUCCUUUGUGAGCAGGCUCUUCACCCUGUGGCUGGAAACGGAUACCUCCAACUCCUUCUGGAACGUUCCUCCCAGGUUCAUCCUGGGACCGCCCUCCCCAGCACCUCUUCCCUCCUCCGUCCCCCGUGGAGACUCCCGCCAGCGGGGCUGGUGGAGAACUUGACCUCGGGUCUCAUCCUGCCCCAGCCCCGUCAUGCCCACUCCUGGAUGCUCAUGGCCAGGGGUUCGCCACACUAUUUCCUCUACUGCCCCCUCGUCCCUGUUCCCAUAGUACACUUGCUCCGCCCCUCCAGUUCCUUGCAGCCCUGCUGCACCAUCUGGCCAGACUGGAGGAAGAGGCUGACCCGGGCAGUUGCGCUCCCUUCUGCUUCUUGGGGAGCUGGGGGCAGGAACCCAUCCCUGGCUGGAGGGGCUAGGAGAGGCUCUCGUUGAUUUCUCCCCUCUCCUGGCCAGCUUUCCUUUCCUCCCUGCGGCCUUGACCACCCCCUGCCUCCCACCCCAGACCCUUUCCCACAACAAGGGAGGUGGGCUGGAGCCAAACGACAGGGCGGGCCCUGGUUUUGCACACUUGGCUUCUGUCCAUUAUCUGGCUGUCAGCAAGAAUCCGAGGUGAGGGACCCACAAUACUACACACUACAUUGCCUGUACAUUUCCCAAAGUUUCCAUCUCCAGCUGUGCCUGAGGAAGUUGAGGAAUGAGGGCUGUGGCCUUCAGAGCAGAGAUUUCUCAUAGCCCUCUCAUCCUGGGGCGCGAGGACCCCUAACAGGAGGGCGGUGAACCAAAUCCACUGGGUGGAGGGUGGGAAACAUCUGGGAACUCUCACAUUCAGGGCCCAUCCUCCUUUCAAGAAUUUUCAGAUACCAUUUUCUCCUAGGAGAGGAAUCUCCACUCCUUCCACUCCUGAGCCAAAAUAAGAGACAGGUUUCCUCAGCAACCGCGGAAACAUCUCAAGAGAGCGGUUAUAUUGUUUUGAAGUGUUUUGAAAUCUUAUCAAUGGUUUCCAGGGAAACCCAGGAUGAUGAAUGGAGGCCUUGCUAGGUAACUUUAAGAAGAGGCAUGGGCAAACGUAUUUGAAUUCACAGUAUGCAUGUAUUCGGCUAUUUAUUAAGGCAGAAGAGUAUAUUUCACUCACAUCUGGCAUUUUAAUUUUACCGCCAGUUCAGUCUUUCUACAUUCACUCCUUGGGGAGGUCUAUAUUAUUUGGUUCGUAAUUUAAGAAAUUACAGAAAAUUUUAAAAUUACGGAAUUUGUCAAUCCCAGGAGAAUCAAAAUUUUAAUUAAUAUUAUGUCUUAACGUUUGGGGAAAUAAGGAUUUAAAGCAGCAACUCAGCUGCCAAAUUUGGGUCAGAACAGUUUGUAGAUCAAGUGGCAGCCGUGUCCCCAGGAGAAAUGGUGCAGUGACAAAUUGGCUCAGUGAAAAAUGACCCAAACCCUUGAUGUUUCACACCAGACCAUCCUCGCUGUGACUCUCCCUUGCUAGUCACUCCCGCCCUAUUUACCAGUCAAAAAAUGUCUGGCAGGUCUGACUCUCCAAUGGAUAUUGGCUCUUAAUUUUUUAGUUUUUGCAUCCAUUGAGAUGACUAGAUGCUUUUGCGUUUCUUCAGCAGGCGACACUUUUCUUUUCUUGGCCUGUGCUCAUCUCUCAGGAUCUCCCACCUCUCAAUUUCACCUUUGUCCUCAUUCAUUGUGUGACGAUUGAGGAUGUCUCCCUAGUUCUCUGAAAAUGGCUCCAAGGAACGGUGAUGGAAAAGCACCAGCAUCCUCUAAGUCCAGUCAAUCUUAUAUCACCACAUCUCUCGAG
This is a long non-coding RNA of Equus caballus (horse), 6595 nucleotides long. The record is from Ensembl. NCBI's taxonomy places the organism in Eukaryota, Metazoa, Chordata, Mammalia, Perissodactyla, Equidae.